RNAcentral lists this ribosomal RNA (253 nucleotides) under uncultured bacterium. RNAcentral describes it as "partial 16S ribosomal RNA". It matches the Rfam family "Bacterial small subunit ribosomal RNA", at positions 524 to 776 of the family's 1533-position model. The record is from RNAcentral.
UACAGAGGUCCCGAGCGUUGUUCGGAUUUAUUGGGCGUAAAGCGUGCGUAGGUGGUUCGUUAAGUCUGUCGUGAAAGCCCCGGGCUCAACCUGGGAAUGGCGAUGGAUACUGGCGGGCUAGAGUGCGGUAGAGGAGAGUGGAAUUCCCGGUGUAGCAGUGAAAUGCGUAGAGAUCGGGAGGAACAUCAGUUGCGAAGGCGGCUCUCUGGACCAGCACUGACACUGAGGCACGAAAGCGUGGGGAGCAAACAGG